UGACAACGCAAAUGGGGACCCUGGGA
Molecule: non-coding RNA, 26 nt
Filed under: Homo sapiens (human)
Lineage: Eukaryota; Metazoa; Chordata; Mammalia; Primates; Hominidae
Source: RNAcentral